RNAcentral lists this ribosomal RNA (451 nucleotides) under uncultured bacterium. RNAcentral describes it as "bacterial SSU rRNA". It matches the Rfam family "Bacterial small subunit ribosomal RNA", at positions 326 to 793 of the family's 1533-position model. The record is from RNAcentral.
CUCUCUGUGACUCCUACGGGAGGCAGCAGUGGGGAAUAUUGCACAAUGGGCGCAAGCCUGAUGCAGCAACGCCGUGUGAGUGAAGAAGGUUUCGGAUCGUAAAACUCUGUCCUAAGGGAAGAAACAAAUGACGGUACCUUAGGAGGAAGCCCCGGCUAACUACGUGCCAGCAGCCGCGGUAAUACGUAGGGGGCAAGCGUUAUCCGGAAUCACUGGGCGUAAAGGGUGCGUAGGCGGCUUAGCAAGCCAGGGGUGAAAGGCAUUGGCUCAACCAAUGUAAGCCUUUGGAACUGUUAGGCUUGAGUGCAGGAGAGGUAAGUGGAAUUCCUAGUGUAGAGGUGAAAUUCGUAGAUAUUAGGAGGAACACCAGUGGCGAAGGCGACUUACUGGACUGUAACUGACGCUGAUGCACGAAAGCGUGGGUAGCGAACAGGAUUAGAUACCCUGGUAG